AGCGAACGCUGGCGGCAGGCUUAACACAUGCAAGUCGAGCGGGCAUCCUUGUGGUGUCAGCGGCAGACGGGUGAGUAACGCGUGGGAACGUGCCCUUCGGUUCGGAAUAACUCAGGGAAACUUGAGCUAAUACCGGAUACGUGCGAGAGCAGAAAGGUUUAUCUGCCGAAGGAUCGGCCCGCGUCUGAUUAGCUAGUUGGUGAGGUUAUGGCUCACCAAGGCGACGAUCAGUAGCUGGGCUGAGAGGAUGAUCAGCCACACUGGGACUGAGACACGGCCCAGUCUCCUACGGGAGGCAGCAGUGGGGAAUAUUGGACAAUGGGGGCAACCCUGAUCCAGCCAUGCCGCGUGAGUGAUGACGGCCUUAGGGUUGUAAAGCUCUUUUCUCCGGGACGAUAAUGACGGUACCGGAGGAAUAAGCCCCGGCUAACUUCGUG
Molecule: ribosomal RNA, 437 nt
Filed under: uncultured bacterium
Lineage: Bacteria
Description: partial 16S ribosomal RNA
Rfam family: Bacterial small subunit ribosomal RNA
Source: RNAcentral